This 1483-nucleotide ribosomal RNA is filed under the name uncultured Bordetella sp. RNAcentral's name for it is "partial 16S-23S ribosomal RNA intergenic spacer". It matches the Rfam family "Bacterial small subunit ribosomal RNA". The record is from RNAcentral. Lineage: Bacteria; Pseudomonadati; Pseudomonadota; Betaproteobacteria; Burkholderiales; Alcaligenaceae.
AGUUCAGUUCUGGCUCAGAUUGAACUGGCAGGAUGCUUUACACAUGCAAGUCGAACGGCAGCACGGACUCGGUCUGGUGGCGAAAGUGGCGAACAGGUGAGUAAUGUAUCAGGUUUUGAUGCCUAGUAGCGGGGGAUAACGCGAAAGCGUAGCUAAUGCCUGCGCACGCCCUUCGGGAAAGCGGGGGACCUUCGGGCCUCGCACUAUUAGAGCGGCCGAUAUCGGAUUAGCUAGUUGGUGGAGUAACGGCUCACCAAGGCGACGAUCCGUAACUGGACUGGGGACGACCAGCCACACUGGGACUGAGACACGGCCCAGACUCCACCAGGAGGCAGCAGUGGGGAAUUUUGGACAAUGGAAACCUGAUCCAGCCAUCCCGCGUGUGCGAUGAAGGCCUUCGGGUUCGCAAAGCACUUUUGGCAGGAAAAAAGAAACGGCACGGGGUAAUACCCGAUGCAGCUGACUGAUACCUGCGAAAUAAGCACCGGCUAACCGUGCCAGCAGCCGCGGUAAUACGUAGGGUGCAAGCGUUAAUCGGAAUUACUGAGGCGUAAAGCGUGCGCGACGGUUCGGAAAGAAAGAUGUGAAAUCCCAGAGCUUAACUUUGGAACUGCAUUUUUAACUACCGAGCUAGAGUGUGUCAGAGGAGGUGGAAUUUCCGCGUGUAGCAGUGAAAUGCGUGUGGGCGGAGGAACACCGAUGGCGAAGGCAGCCUCCUGGGAUACUUACUGACGCUCAUGCGAAAGCGUGGGGAGCAAACAGGAUUAGAUACCCUGGUAGUCACGCCCUAAACGUGUCAACUAGCUGUUGGAGGCCUUCGGGCCUUGGUAGCGCAACUAACGCGUGAAGUUGACCGCCUGGGGGAAAUGCGGUCCCUUAAGAUUAAAACUCAAAGGAAUUGACGGGGACCCGCACAAGCGGUGGAUGAUGUGGAUUAAUUCGAUGCAACGCGAAAAACUACCGCUUGACAUGUCUGGAAUCCCGAAGAGAUUUGGGAGUGCUCGCAAGAGAACCAGGACACAGGUGCUGCAUGGCUGUCGUCAGCUCGUGUCGUGAGAUGUUGGGUUAAGUCCCGCAACGAGCGCAACCCUUGUCAUUAGUUGCUACGAAAGGGCGCUCUAAUGAGACUGCCGGUGAGCAAACCGGAGGAAGGUGGGGAUGACGUCAAGUCCUCACUGGCCCAUAUGGGUAGGGCUUCACACGUCAUACAAUGGUCAGGACUGGGGGUCGCCAACCCGCGAGAGGGGGCCAAUCCCAGGAAGCUGAUCGUAGUCGGAUCGCAGUCUGCAACUCGACUGCGUGAAGUCCGGAAUCGCUAGUAAUCGCGGAUCCAGCAUGUCGCGGUGAACCAGACCGGGUCUUGUACACACCGCCCGUCCACACCACAGGAGUGGGUUUUACCAAAGUAGUUAGCCUAACCGUAGGGAGGGCGAUUACCUUACGGUAGGAUUCAUGACUGGGGGUGAAGUCAUCAACAAGGUAG